UGCCAGCCGCCGCGGUAAUACGGAGGGGGCUAGCGUUGUUCGGAAUUACUGGGCGUAAAGCGCACGUAGGCGGACUAUUAAGUCAGGGGUGAAAUCCCGGGGCUCAACCUCGGAACUGCCUUUGAUACUGCAGAUCUAGAGUCCGAGAGAGGUGAGUGGAAUUCCUAGUGUAGAGGUGAAAUUCGUAGAUAUUUGGGGAACACCAGUGGCGAAGGCGGCUCACUGGCUCGAUACUGACGCUGAGGUACGAAAGUGUGGGGAGCAAACAGGAUUAGAUA
This 278-nucleotide ribosomal RNA is filed under the name uncultured bacterium. RNAcentral's name for it is "partial 16S ribosomal RNA". It matches the Rfam family "Bacterial small subunit ribosomal RNA", at positions 506 to 784 of the family's 1533-position model. The record is from RNAcentral.